RNAcentral lists this ribosomal RNA (254 nucleotides) under uncultured bacterium. RNAcentral's name for it is "partial 16S ribosomal RNA". It matches the Rfam family "Bacterial small subunit ribosomal RNA", at positions 524 to 776 of the family's 1533-position model. The record is from RNAcentral.
CACGUAGGGUGCGAGCGUUGUCCGGAAUUAUUGGGCGUAAAGAGCUCGUAGGCGGUGUGUCGCGUCGGCCGUGAAAACCUGCAGCUUAACUGUGGGCUUGCGGUCGAUACGGGCAUCACUGGAGUUCGGCAGGGGAGACUGGAAUUCCUGGUGUAGCGGUGGAAUGCGCAGAUAUCAGGAGGAACACCGGUGGCGAAGGCGGCAUCCUGGACCGACAUUGACGCUGAGGCGCGAAAGCCAGGGGAGCAAACGGG